Molecule: transfer RNA, 73 nt
Filed under: Alligator mississippiensis (American alligator)
Lineage: Eukaryota; Metazoa; Chordata; Crocodylia; Alligatoridae
Rfam family: tRNA
About the family: Transfer RNA (tRNA) molecules are approximately 80 nucleotides in length. Their secondary structure includes four short double-helical elements and three loops (D, anti-codon, and T loops). Further hydrogen bonds mediate the characteristic L-shaped molecular structure. tRNAs have two regions of fundamental functional importance: the anti-codon, which is responsible for specific mRNA codon recognition, and the 3' end, to which the tRNAs corresponding amino acid is attached (by aminoacyl-tRNA synthetases). tRNAs cope with the degeneracy of the genetic code in two manners: having more than one tRNA (with a specific anti-codon) for a particular amino acid; and 'wobble' base-pairing, i.e. permitting non-standard base-pairing at the 3rd anti-codon position.
Source: Rfam by way of RNAcentral
GCCCAGCCAGGUCAGUUGGUAGGGUAUAAGACUCUUAUUCUUAGGGCUGUGGGUUCAAACCCCAUGUUAUGCA